This 560-nucleotide ribosomal RNA is filed under the name uncultured bacterium. RNAcentral's name for it is "bacterial SSU rRNA". It matches the Rfam family "Bacterial small subunit ribosomal RNA", at positions 339 to 917 of the family's 1533-position model. The record is from RNAcentral.
CUACGGGAGGCAGCAGUGGGGAAUCUUAGACAAUGGGCGCAAGCCUGAUCUAGCCAUGCCGCGUGAGUGAUGAAGGCCUUAGGGUCGUAAAGCUCUUUCGCCUGUGAUGAUAAUGACAGUAGCAGGUAAAGAAACCCCGGCUAACUCCGUGCCAGCAGCCGCGGUAAUACGGAGGGGGUUAGCGUUGUUCGGAAUUACUGGGCGUAAAGCGCACGUAGGCGGAUUGGAAAGUUGGGGGUGAAAUCCCGGGGCUCAACCCCGGAACUGCCUCCAAAACUAUCAGUCUAGAGUUCGAGAGAGGUGAGUGGAAUUCCAAGUGUAGAGGUGAAAUUCGUAGAUAUUUGGAGGAACACCAGUGGCGAAGGCGGCUCACUGGCUCGAUACUGACGCUGAGGUGCGAAAGUGUGGGGAGCAAACAGGAUUAGAUACCCUGGUAGUCCACACCGUAAACGAUGAAUGCCAGUCGUCGGGCAGUAUACUGUUCGGUGACACACCUAACGGAUUAAGCAUUCCGCCUGGGGAGUACGGUCGCAAGAUUAAAACUCAAAGGAAUUGACGGA